This 4065-nucleotide long non-coding RNA is filed under the name Cavia porcellus (domestic guinea pig). RNAcentral's name for it is "lncRNA (ENSCPOG00000034123.1)". The record is from RNAcentral. Lineage: Eukaryota; Metazoa; Chordata; Mammalia; Rodentia; Caviidae.
CUCAAAGAUUUUCUAAGAACAUCUCUCUCUAAUGAUAUCUCUUUCUCUGUGUUUUUAUUUUAGCGAUAUAGCGUGGAAAUGUCCAUCCGACACCUGAAAAAGACAGAGCUGCUUAGUAAGGUGGAAGCUUUGAAGAAAGGUGGCGUUUUACUACCAAAUGAUCUCCUUGAAAAAGUGGAUUCAAUUAAUGAAAAAUGGGAACUGCUUGGGAAAACCCUAAGAGAGAAGAUACAAGACACAAUGGUAGGGCACAGUGGGUCUGGUCCACGAGACCUGCUCUCUCCCGAAAGCGGAAGUCUGGUGAGACAGCUGGAGGUCAGGAUCAAAGAACUGAAAGGGUGGCUAAGAGACACAGAGCUUUUCAUCUUCAAUUCCUGUCUGAGACAAGAAAAGGAAGGAACAAUGAAUGCUGAGAAACAACUGCAAUACUUUAAGUCUCUCUGUCGUGAAAUCAAGCAGCGACGUAGAGGAGUGGCCUCCAUUCUUCGAUUAUGCCAGCAUCUUCUGGAUGACCGAGAGACCUGUAAUCUGAGUGCAGACCACCAGCCCAUGCAGCUGAUCAUUGUAAAUCUUGAAAGAAGAUGGGAAGCCAUUGUCAUGCAAGCUGUCCAGUGGCAAACACGGCUACAAAAGAAAAUGGGAAGAGAAUCUGAGACUUUGAAUGUGAUUGAUCCUGGUUUGAUGGACCUAAAUGGGAUGAAUGAAGAUGCCCUGGAGUGGGAUGAAACAGAUAUAAGUAACAAAUUAAUUAGUUUGAACGAAGAAUCAACUGACCUCGAUCAAGAACCCCAACCUGUAAUUCCUUCAUUGAAGUGUGAAGAGACAAGUAAUGAGGAUCCUGGUUAUGAGGAAGGGACAGGAGACCAUGGGGGAUCUCAGUAUUCCUCGAAUAUCACUGCACCCUGCAGUCCACAUAUUUAUCAGGUGUACAGCCUCCACAAUAUUGAACUCUACGAGGACAACCACCUGCCCUUUCUGAAAAACAAUCCAAACUUUACUAGCAUGACACAGCCUAGUGUUUUGACUAAGAGUCUUAGCAAAGACUCUUCCUUUUCAUCUACCAAAUCUUUGCCAGAUAUUUUAGGAGGUCCCAAUUUGGUAAAACCUUGCCCAUGCCACAGUGGAGACAUGUGCCAGAAUUCUGGCAGUGAGAGUGGAAUCGUCAGUGAAGGAGACACUGAAAUGACUACCAACUCAGAAAUGUGCUUGCUCAGUGCGGUGGAUGGGCCCCCAAGUCACCCUGGACAUCUGGACUCACAAGUGGGAGAUGCAGUUAAUGUAUUAAAGCAAAAAUUUAUAGAUGAGGACAAAUGCUGUAAGCCUCCAAAUAGCUCUCAGUCAUCCAUUUCACCAGUGGGCAGUGUAAAUGGAAAAGUUGGAGAUUUAAACAGUGUUACCAAACAUACCCCUGAUUGUUUGGGAGAAGAAUUACAAGGAAAACAUGAUGUGUUUACAUUUUAUGAUUACUCUUACCUUCAAGGCUCAAAACUCAAAUUACCAAUGAUAAUGAAACAGUCACAGAGUGAAAAGACACAUGUGGCGGAUCACCUUCUCUGUGGUUUUUAUUUUGAUAAAAAAUCUUGCAAAUCUAAACAGCAGGCUUUAGAGUUACAACCAGAUGCACCACCCCACGAAAAGGUUUUGGCAAAUGCACCCCAUGAAAUGGAUCGCAGCUCAUAUAAAAGUGGUGAUAUAGAGAAGGCAUUUGCUGGCAUUCCAAAUGCCAAACAAUUCUCCCUUUUAUCUCGUAGUUCAUCUAUUGAGUCCCUUUCACCAGGCAGCGAUUUAUUUGGAUUGGGUGUCUUUAAAAAUGGCAGUGACAGCCUCCAGCGAAGUACUUCUUUAGAAAGUUGGUUGACAUCCUAUAAAAGCAAUGAAGAUCUUUUUAGCUGUCACAGCUCUGGGGACAUAAGUGUGAGCAGUGGCUCAGUUGGUGAACUGAGUAAAAGGACAUUAGAUCUCCUGAAUCGUUUGGAAAAUAUCCAGAGUCCCUCAGAACAAAAGAUAAAGCGAAGUGUUUCUGAUAUCACUCUUCAAAGCAGUUCCCAAAAGAUGUCCUAUGCUGGCCAAAUGUCCUUGGACAUAGCAUCUUCUAUCAAUGAAGACUCAGCAGCAUCUCUCACAGAACUUAGCAGCAGUGAUGAACUCUCUCUUUGCUCAGAGGACAUUGUGUUACACAAGAACAAGAUUCCAGAAUCAAAUGCAUCUUUUAGGAAGCGCCUUAAUCACUCUGUAGCUGAUGAAAGUGAUGUGAAUGUCAGUAUGAUUGUUAAUGUCUCAUGCACCUCUGCUUGCACUGAUGAUGAAGAUGACAGUGACCUUCUCUCGAGCUCUACGCUCACCUUGACUGAAGAAGAACUUUGUAUCAAAGAUGAGGAUGAUGACUCCAGCAUUGCAACAGAUGAUGAAAUUUAUGAAGAAUGCAACCUGAUGUCAGGACUAGACUAUAUAAAGAAUGAGUUACAGACCUGGAUUAGGCCAAAACUUUCCUUGACAAGAGAUAAAAAACGGUGUAAUCUCAGUGAAGAAAUAAAGGGCAAUAAAGAUGUAAGCAGUAAUGAAGUGACCAAUUCCUCUGAUACCCUAAAUAUUGAGACCCUUCUAAAUGACUCCAUAAAAUGCCUCUCUGAAAAUAAUGGAAAUAGUAAGAAUUCACCCCAUAUGCACGAGUUAGGAACAAAGAGUGAAAACAAGAAAAAUAUUUUCAAAGUUAAUAAAGAUCCACAUGUGGCAGAUAUGGAAAAUGGCAAUAUUGAAAGUACUCCAGAAGAGCCAAAAGAUAAGCUGAGUGAAAGUUCACACUCAUCAGAGAAUCUUAGUUCAAGUGGGAAGAAGAUUCCAGAAAGUGAGCUCUGCAAGUAUAAGGCAUCUAUAGAUGGUUCAGAUGAUUUGAAUAUUGCUGGAAAGGAAUUUGGUCCUCCAAAUGUUAGACAUCUUCCAAAGGACUGUGCAAAUCACCACCCUUUUGAAAAUCAGAGGGCCAAUUGCACUGCCAUCACAAAAGCUUGCCCAGAACUGUCUUUAGAAGCCAGAGUUAACAACAGACAAGUCUGUGAUGUAUCGAAAUCUUCUUCUAAUGAUACAUCAAGUGUGGAUGAAAAUUCUGCUGGUUGCUGCCCCGCACUUGAACCAAAUGAAACCGAGGAAACCUCUUCUAUCAGUGGCAGUGUUUCCUGUUGCAACUGUAAGCCAGAUGUUUUCCAUCAAAAACAUGCUGAAGAUUGUUCUGUACAUGACUUUGUUAAAGAAAUUAUUGACAUGGCUUCAACAGCCCUAAAAAGUAAAUCUCAACCUGAAAAUGAGGUGCCUGCUCCCACUUCAUUAACUCAAAUCAAGGAAAAAGUAUUAGAACAUUCUCACCGGCCCAUCCAUUUGAGAAAAGGAGACUUUUAUUCCUACUUAUCCCUUUCAUCUCAUGACAGUGACUGUGGGGAGGUCACCAGUUACAUAGAAGAGAAAAGCAAUACUCCAUUGCUGCUAGACACAAUCGACUCUGGCUUAGAUGAAAAGGAAGACAUUGAAUGUUUCUUUGAGGCCUGUGUUGAGAAUGACCCUAAUUCAGAGGAUCCCUGUUUCUCUAACACUCCUCCGGAUGAAUCUUCAGUUCCCGAGGAAACUAAAGUGCCACUACAAGCGACACCCCACUCUUCUAAAUUCAGUGAUACUUCUCUAUUAGUUAAUGAUACAGACAUGGUGCCUCUUCCAAUACCUCCCUCUCAGAAAGAAGCUGACAUUAGAAAGGAAGUAGAUGAUUUUCCCCAGACUUCCAGCAGGUAUGCAGAAAACUCUGAGUUUAUUCCUUCACAGGUGCAUAGUGAAAAGGAGAAUUCAGGAAAACCAGGUGAAUCAGGAGUGCCAGAAGAGCACAACACUGCUUCAGCCAAAUCUAAGGUUCAGGACCUCUCCCUGAAGGCAAAUCAGCUAAAAGACAAAACUCCAUUGCAUCCCAGCCCCAAAUCUUUAACCUGUGAAGAAAAUCUUCUAGAUCUCUCUGCAGAACCACAUGGAAAUAUGCAUACGUAGAAUGUAACUCCUCCCCAAGCAUGAAAAUCCUCUCAUUGAAAG